UCCUCGGUAGCUCAAUGGCAGAGCAUCCGGCUGUUAACCGGAGGGUUGUAGGUUCGAGUCCUACCCGGGGAGCCA
Molecule: transfer RNA, 75 nt
Filed under: Cryptobacterium sp. CAG:338
Lineage: Bacteria; Bacillati; Actinomycetota; Coriobacteriia; Eggerthellales; Eggerthellaceae
Also listed under: 3 other names
Description: transfer RNA-Asn(GTT)
Rfam family: tRNA
About the family: Transfer RNA (tRNA) molecules are approximately 80 nucleotides in length. Their secondary structure includes four short double-helical elements and three loops (D, anti-codon, and T loops).
Source: RNAcentral